RNA transcript from Cryptomeria japonica (Japanese cedar), 2077 nucleotides. It is a transcript of the gene named protein SRC2 homolog, with no coding region annotated. The record is from RefSeq and is a predicted model, not a curated record. Lineage: Eukaryota; Viridiplantae; Streptophyta; Pinopsida; Cupressales; Cupressaceae. The transcript has 3 exons.
AGUCACUCCGUGUGCAUUACGUGGCCCGCGUAAUAAGAAACCUCCCUGCAACCCAGCAACGACUUCACCCAAUCCUAUAAACACAUCAUCUCACCAUAGAAGUCCAUUUGCAUUCUCUCUCUCUCUGCUUUCUUUUCUCUCGACCAAAUUCCAUUUUUUAAAAUCUUCUGCAUAUUCCCGACCUUUAUAUAUCUUCUGCAAAUUCAACAGAGGUCACACAGGAUCAUCAAUGGAGACCCGUACUAUAGAAGUAACUUUGAUAUCCGCUCGCGAUAUACAGGAUGUGAAUUUGUUCUCCAAAUCGAAGGUCUAUGCCGUGGCAUGGAUCAAAGGCGACCCUCGGGCCUCGAAGCAAAGGACGGUCUCAGACAAGGAGAACGGCACAAACCCUACCUGGAACAAACCCUUGACCUUCACAGUCGAUGAGGCGGCGCUUCAGCAGGGGCGUCUGGUCCUAGAAGUGGAGAUCCGCACAGAGGCGACAUUUGGGGACAAGGAAGUAGGGCAUGUAUCGGUACCCAUGAAGGAAUUUCUCAACAAGAAGCCUCCCGGCGGCGUAGAUUUCGUGGCUUACCAGGUGCGCAAACCCUCGGGGAAGGCCAAGGGCACGCUCAAUUUAUCAGUCAAGCUGAACAAUCCGGCGCAAGUUAAACAGCCGGUGUACGAGCCCACUUCCUUUCAGUACCCUGCUAAUGGCAGCGCUGCCCCUGCAUAUGGCAGCGCUCCUCCAGCAUAUGGCAGCGCUGCCCCAGCAUAUGGCGCCACAGCCACAGCCACAGCCCCUGCACAGAAAGAGGGCAAGAAUGAGCCUGUGACUGCAUACCCAGCCUACCCGCCGCCUGGAUCUUCUUCUUCUUCCUCAUACCCGCCGCCAGCAGCAUACCCACCGCCGCCUCCUGGUCCGCCUGCAGGCUAUCCCCAUUACCCUCCGCCUCCACCUGCGGGUUACCCCCAGUACCCUCCACCUGGUGGGCAUUAUCAUCCGCAACAGGGUUACCCUCCCCACAAUCAGGGUGGUUACCCCCCUUACAAUCAGGGUGGCUACCCUCCCUACAAUCAGGGUUACCCUCCUGUUCAGCAGCAGCCGCCGAAGAAGAACAAGAUGGGAUUGGGACUAGGCGCCGGGCUGCUUGGUGGUGCCCUCGGAGGGCUGUUGAUUGGUGACAUGAUUGGCGAUGGCUUCGGCGAUGGCUUCGGCGAUGGAGGGGAUUUUGGCGGUGAUUUCUAAUAAGAUCUGCUAAAUUACUGAAACAAAUUUUGUACUUCUUCUUCUGGGGACUUCUCGCCUCAUCCUGCUGGGUUAGGGUUAGCAGUGGCAUGAUCGAGCAGUAAGUCCUCCCCUAUCAUAUGCGGGGUUGGGGUCUGUGUUUAGUAUAGUCCAGUGAGGAGUUCUUGGCCUAUGCACCGUCGAGACACUAGGGAAGGUGUUAUCAUGAUGCUGGUAUAGAAUUUCUGAGCACUAAAGGUACUAGGGAUAUGAAGAAUGGUGUUUCUGGUCUUCAUAAGACAUAUGGUGCCUUGUUCAUAUUCCUGAACGCCAAGUUAUAUCAUUUACCAUAGCAGGAGGAUUGAGUAGGCAUCAACAGAUCCCUUUUAACUGGCAUUACAUCAGAUUGGGAGGAUGGAAGAAUUUGUUUUGUAUUGUUAGCAGUGGAUGGUUCAUGGUGGUAUAAGUCACUGCAUGACUGAACUGUACGCAAUCGGGUCUAUGUUGCAUAUGGUCACAUCCAGCUAGUAUAAUACAAUCUAAUCUAUAGAAAAGGUCUAUGAUCUAGCACAUGUUAUUAUGUUUGUCCAAUUGCAAAAACAUUACUGUAGUCUUUUACUCUCGCUGCUUUCGAAUUUGAUUGAUGCAAAAAUUCAUGCAAUCAAAUCCGCAAAGCAACGGGAAAUGUCUCAUAGAUUUGGAAAUCUUUUUUUAUCAUUGUGGAUUAUCUGCGUAACCCCAUCAUGAGAUGAGGUUGAACUAUAUUUAUAAUUUCUUCAGGUUACAAAUUGUAGCCCUCUUCAAAAAUUAGCCAAGAGAUGAUUAUGAUUUAUAAUUUAUCUAGAUUACAAAUUUUUGUAAUCCUCUUGC